AAUGUGAUACACGAUAGACAGAAUCAGCGUUUCACAGUAACUCUUGACUGUGGCGGAACAGUGAGUAGUGCAGUACUGAAAUACACUUCUCAGUCAUGAUCAGCAGGUGGAGUUGAUCUCUACAGAGGGUCCUGAAUCACACAGGGGUAAAGGUGCAGCAGCACAUUUGGCAAAGGCUGCUUUGGAUUUUGUUGUCGAAGAAAAUUUGACAGCGAGGAUAUCCUGUUGGUACAUUAGAAAAUAUGUAGAUGAAAAUCCACAUCUUGGAUACCAGGCUUAUAUUGAAGACAAAUAAAGGCAGAAUUAAACAACGUCUUAACGGAAGAUUUUACAUAGGCUACGUCUUACCUCCUUUACCUGACUCCUUGCAGUCUUAUGCAGAGGCGUAUUAUAUAGGCGCACGUGCCCUCUCAGAUUUUUGAGCCAAGUGGAUUUUGAAUGCAGCUUCCAAAAGACAAAAAA
Molecule: long non-coding RNA, 462 nt
Organism: Sinocyclocheilus anshuiensis
Lineage: Eukaryota; Metazoa; Chordata; Actinopteri; Cypriniformes; Cyprinidae
Exons: 3
Source: RefSeq, a predicted model, not a curated record